UACCCGAUGGUGUAAUUGGCAACACAACAGGUUUUGGUCCUGUCGUUCCAGGUUCGAGUCCUGGUCGGGUAGCCA
Molecule: transfer RNA, 75 nt
Filed under: Planctomycetota bacterium
Lineage: Bacteria; Pseudomonadati; Planctomycetota
Description: Planctomycetes bacterium tRNA-Gln
Rfam family: tRNA
About the family: Transfer RNA (tRNA) molecules are approximately 80 nucleotides in length. Their secondary structure includes four short double-helical elements and three loops (D, anti-codon, and T loops).
Source: RNAcentral